RNAcentral lists this ribosomal RNA (497 nucleotides) under uncultured bacterium. Its description in RNAcentral is "partial 16S ribosomal RNA". It matches the Rfam family "Bacterial small subunit ribosomal RNA", at positions 28 to 507 of the family's 1533-position model. The record is from RNAcentral.
GACGAACGCUGGCGGCGUGCCUAAUACAUGCAAGUAGAACGCUGAAGGGAGGAGCUUGCUCUUCUUGGAUGAGUUGCGAACGGGUGAGUAACGCGUAGGUAACCUGCCUGGUAGCGGGGGAUAACUAUUGGAAACGAUAGCUAAUACCGCAUAAAAUUGAUUAUUGCAUGAUAAUUAAUUGAAAGAUGCAACUGCAUCACUACCAGAUGGACCUGCGUUGUAUUAGCUAGUUGGUGAGGUAACGGCUCACCAAGGCGACGAUACAUAGCCGACCUGAGAGGGUGAUCGGCCACACUGGGACUGAGACACGGCCCAGACUCCUACGGGAGGCAGCAGUAGGGAAUCUUCGGCAAUGGGGGGAACCCUGACCGAGCAACGCCGCGUGAGUGAAGAAGGUUUUCGGAUCGUAAAGCUCUGUUGUAAGAGAAGAACGGGUGUGAGAGUGGAAAGUUCACACUGUGACGGUAUCUUACCAGAAAGGGACGGCUAACUACGUG